Molecule: ribosomal RNA, 489 nt
Filed under: uncultured bacterium
Lineage: Bacteria
Description: partial 16S ribosomal RNA
Rfam family: Bacterial small subunit ribosomal RNA
Source: RNAcentral
AUUGAACGCUGGCGGCAGGCCUAACACAUGCAAGUCGAACGGUAACAGGAAGCAGCUUGCUGCUUUGCUGACGAGUGGCGGACGGGUGAGUAAUGUCUGGGAAACUGCCUGAUGGAGGGGGAUAACUACUGGAAACGGUAGCUAAUACCGCAUAACGUCGCAAGACCAAAGAGGGGGACCUUCGGGCCUCUUGCCAUCGGAUGUGCCCAGAUGGGAUUAGCUAGUAGGUGGGGUAACGGCUCACCUAGGCGACGAUCCCUAGCUGGUCUGAGAGGAUGACCAGCCACACUGGAACUGAGACACGGUCCAGACUCCUACGGGAGGCAGCAGUGGGGAAUAUUGCACAAUGGGCGCAAGCCUGAUGCAGCCAUGCCGCGUGUAUGAAGAAGGCCUUCGGGUUGUAAAGUACUUUCAGCGGGGAGGAAGGGAGUAAAGUUAAUACCUUUGCUCAUUACGUUACCCGCAGAAGAAGCACCGGCUAACUCCGUG